This is a long non-coding RNA of Populus euphratica (Euphrates poplar), 280 nucleotides long. RefSeq lists it as uncharacterized. NCBI's taxonomy places the organism in Eukaryota, Viridiplantae, Streptophyta, Magnoliopsida, Malpighiales, Salicaceae. The record is from RefSeq and is a predicted model, not a curated record. The transcript is spliced from 2 exons.
CAAUAUCUUGGAUGUGAACCAGAAUUGGAAUGUUGGGUGUUCUUGUUUUUGAUACAUGUAAAGAGGUUUGGGGCAAUUUUGCUGCCUUCUGUGAAUCCCUCCAUCUGGGCUUAUCAAAAGAGGAGAAGGAACGAAGUAAGUUUCUCUUCUCAGUUAUGUAUGAUAUGGUUUGAGUGCUGCUUUAUUGAAUUACUCUCGCUAUCCCUGUUACGUUCUGUGAAUUUUAAAGGACUAGACAUGUUUCAAUUCAAUACUGAGCUAGUUUCUUGAUGCUUCAAAC